ACUGCUAUGGUGUUCAUAACCAGUGAAACUAUCUACACACCAAACAGACUGAAAAAAAAAACACUGAGAAAACAUCUUGGAGCUUGAUUCCAGUCUCUUGUCCUACGUACAUACAUGUCAAUACAAGCAAGAACUGUGGGCAGUGGUAACCUGUUUCCCUGAGGCAUCAGCUGCAGGAAGAAAGGCGCAGAGGGAGGUUCUCAAAAUGCUGAAAGGACCAAGAGUCAGGAAGCAAGAGGAAGAGAAGGAAAAAAACCUAAGAGUCUUCUCUGUGGGGUCAUCAAAAUCUGGACGUAUGAGUUGCUUAUGUUCAUAUAAGCAAGUUCACUACAAGCAAAGUUGUACUAUAAGCACUCUAGGCAAAUUCAUCAUACAAGCAAAAUCAUGGAUGGGAAAAUCUACUAUGAUAAGGCUCUAUCUAAAGACAGCUAUGAAAUGUUCUGAAAGUGAAUAUAGUAGAAGUGGUCAAGACUUCCCAGAUCUUCCAUUUUAAUUUUAACUCAAUUUGAUUCUGCUCUCUCCCUCAUAGACCUAAAGAUGGGUCUUCAGAAACCAUAUAAUCCAAGCCUCUCAUUUUAUAGAUGAAAAAGAGGCCUGAGGAAAAUGAAUGACUUGCCUAAAGCCACAUGGGUUGCAAAUGUCAGAAUUGGGAUCUGAACCAGGUCCCCAGAGGCCACAGCUAGUUCUCUUUCCUCUAUUACAUGCUCCUUCCCAAAAUGGAGAAAUCCAGACAUAUGGGCUGGUAUGACUAUUUUGUCCUCUGGCCUAGGACAAAGGUGUCCAGCUGUAUUAUCUACUGGCUGAUGGCCAGGUCUGAAUGAAAGUUACAAAUGCAGAUGCAUUGUAAAUGACCCCACUAGGACAGUUCUCUGGAAACAGGAUGGAUGGUUUUGUAGAUACACUGACUUCUGCCUUCUGAAAAUGGUAUUUUCAGUAAUACUGAACUGUGAAAAGCUCAACUACACCUCAGUUCUCCUUUGCAAAUAGCAGAGUGCCCAGCAAAGAGCCUGGGAAAUGC
Molecule: non-coding RNA, 1018 nt
Organism: Phascolarctos cinereus (koala)
Lineage: Eukaryota; Metazoa; Chordata; Mammalia; Diprotodontia; Phascolarctidae
Source: RefSeq, a predicted model, not a curated record